ACUUUACCCUAGAGCUAGCUUCGUAGCAGUAUCUCCUUCUCCUGGGGUUUCAUUAUCUGAGGUCUUCCCUCGAUUGGUCACAUACGGGGUUGGUACUGCCGGCUGGCGAGCGUCGUCCCCUUCUACCUGCGCUCCUGAGAUCUACUAUCACUUCACUUUCUUAUGAAUUUUUUAGCCUCUUUAUGAUGCUAUUUUUGAGCCUCUUUAUGAUGCUUGACUUCAAGUAGUUAGGUGUUUUUUGUGUGUAGCGUGCACGCUCGUGGGGUAUGAAGGGAUCGAUCUGGUUUUAUUCUUGAUAAUGUUUUUUGAAUGAUCGAGCAUACACUUUUUCUUUUGUCCGUUGCACGUAGGAUUGCGUUUGGGUGGACCAGAUUUGCCUAUUAAUUAGGUUUACUAGAUCUGAAAUUGCUCUAGCUUCUAGAUCGAUGGCUCUAAUUUUUCGAUUAAACUGCCCAGCAGGGAACACGAUGGGCAAGAAAAAGAAAAAUUUAGAAAUGGAUCUGGUGUACAUGAGAUGUUUGGCAGCAGGAGAAAAGCGCAAGUGUAAACCUAUAGUGCACCAUAUAGAUUGGAAUUAUCAUCCGCAGAAAUGCGACGGAGCCAAGAAUGUCCUUGCUUGUGCAACCUCCCAAGGAACCAGGAUCUGGCGUAUCAACACAAAUGCCUUUAAGUGCACUUUGCUGUACAACAGGGCAACUCCAGAGGGACGGCAAUCCCUCGUGUGCAAAUGAAACCCCCACGACGGAGCAGUAAUUGCAACGGGAGGAGACCCUCUCGCAGCCAGUGAAGGCAGAAAACGCCACCAUUACCAGGACCGGCGGCAUCAUCCGGCUGCUGAGAUACAAGAGAGGAGACAAUGAUGGCCACUUCGAAGACAUCAAAAGCUUCAUGCUUUGUUUGGAUGUAGGUAUUCAGGUGUGGAAUUGAAUUGGGUUAGGAAUGCCAAAUCUGUGUGGUAUUGGAAUUGGCCUCCAAUGCCAAAGCAACUGUUUGGAUGUGCAUGGUAUUAGCUAUUGGAAUCAGAAGGUAGCAACCAAUUCCAAAUCAUGUUUGGAUGUACAAUGUGUGGAAUUGGCUACUUUGUUGAGUUUGGAGAAUAUACAAUUGUUUAUAUAUAGAGAAAAAA
Brachypodium distachyon (stiff brome) is the source of this 1126-nucleotide long non-coding RNA. RefSeq lists it as uncharacterized. The record is from RefSeq and is a predicted model, not a curated record. Lineage: Eukaryota; Viridiplantae; Streptophyta; Magnoliopsida; Poales; Poaceae. The transcript has 2 exons.